RNAcentral lists this long non-coding RNA (10297 nucleotides) under Homo sapiens (human). Its description in RNAcentral is "non-protein coding lnc-SLC12A7-5:17". Lineage: Eukaryota; Metazoa; Chordata; Mammalia; Primates; Hominidae. The record is from RNAcentral.
AUUCCGAUCCGCUGCCCCUGAGAGGUGGGCCUUGGGAGAGGCAGGGCUUGGACGCCCUUCCUCGGGGCAGCGGGGUGCAGGGAGAGUUCUUCUGGCUGUGAGUCCCGGAGUCCCCGACCCUGGCACCCCUUCAGCAAGGUUCUCAGGCACAUCUGCCGGGGGCGCUGAGGGGACCUGAGAUGGACGGGCCGGGAGGGAGGCUGAGGUAAGACCUGAGGCUGAGGUAAGACCUCAGCCUGAGGUAAGACACAGUGCUGGGGCCUCCCUUGAAGCCCGUUUGAAGUGAGGUCCCCACAGCUGUCAGAGGACACGCAGGGUGGGGGCUCCUGGGUGGGAAACAGGUAAACCUCUUGGGCGCCUGGGGCUGGAGGCCUGAGUGGUCCUGAAAAGAACAUUCAGGCCAGGCGCAGUGGCUCACACCUGUAAUCCCAGCACUUUCGGGGGCUGAGGCGGGUGGAUCACAAGGUCAAGAGAUCGAGACCAUCCUGGCCAACAUGGUGAAACCCCGUCUCUACUAAAGACACAAAAGCUAGCUGCAUGUGGUGGCGCACGCCUGUAGUCCCAGCUCCUCUUAGGGAGGCUGAGGCAGGAGAAUCACUUGGACCCAGGAGGCGGAGGUUGCAGUGAGCUGAGAUUGCGCCACUGCACUCCAGCCUGGCGACACAGCGAGACUCUGUCUCAAAAAUAAAUAAAUAAAUAAAUAAAAAGAAAAGAAAAGAACAUUUAGUGAAAGGAGCAAGGAAGAGAAGGCAUUCUGGGCAGACCCCGGCCCCCAGGGCACAGGCGUGCAGUGUUUCCCUUCCAGGGUUUGGUGGACACUUGGAGGGACCAGGUCGGGGUGUGGCCUGGGAGGGGUGGCCAAGGUCCAGGGGUCAGGGUCACUUCGGGGAAGUCCAAGGGGCAGCGCGGAGCCACCGCUGUGGACAUGGGAGGAGCCUACUAGCCAGCAUGGCCCAAAGGAAGGAGGGGCUGAGGGUCAGAGGUCAUGGGAGAGAAGAGGGAGUGGGGCAGACCCUCUCCCAAGGCCAUGGGGUGGGGGAGAAACAGCGCCUUAGGGCCUGUCCUGAUCCUCCUCCAGAGCCUGCUCAGAGUGGGAGCAGCCCCUCCUCCCUUCCCCUCCACCACCCAGGCGCAGGUGCGGCCUCUCCCUGGCCCGGGGACCUGCGUGAGGUCAGCCCUCAAAGCGCUGUCCCUUCUGGCUCACCUGGGCCCAGGGUGAGGCCCGACCCCACGGUGGACCCUGAGUCACUGCAGCUUCUGUGCCCAGCUCAGGAACAGAGCAGCCUUCAAGGCCAGGACUGGGGAGGGGCUCGGCUUUUCCGGCCCUUGGACGCCACUCAACUCUUCCUGCCCGUGUGUUGGCAAAGAACUAGCACGGCCUCUGAAGCACUGAAAAGACAAGGGCUACCUCUUUUCCAGAAGGUCCCAGAGCCCACCAUGAGCAGGCAGUGUUUGGGAAAAGCCCGGGGAGGUGGCAGGGGCUCCGAGGAGCGGGGGAUUCUAAGGGGUUAUAGCUGCGCUGAGCCCCGGGCUCCUCAGAAGCCUCAGAAGGAGAAGGGGGCUCCUUUGGGGGCAUCCUCCCUGCAUCCGGGGUGUUGCAGGGUGACCUCCCGUAGUGCCAGCAGGGGCGGCCCCUCGGUCUGGCCAGAGAAGCCCAGCCACUGUCCCGUAUGGUGGAUGUCAGGCCCAGUGCCGUGUUUCCGAAGGAGGGAAGGGGUGAGAGGCAGCAGCCAGACACCCCGCUGAGCCCGCCCCGACCCUGAGCACGUGGGAGCUGGAGACGGUGUCACACACUCGGCCUGGCUUUGGGACCAUCCCUAGGGCUUCUGUGGGGAGGAGGAAGGAGGAGCAGACGUGGAAGGGCUGCCAGGGCCCCAGCAGAUGGGGUCGGGGGCGGAGGAGAGCCAGGAAAGUGUGGGCGCCUGGGGGAGUCACAGAUGGAGGUCUGGUACCUAGAGCCUGGAGAACGACGGCUCUCGGGACAGAGGGCCUCAGACUCUGGCACACCAGCCGUACCUAUGACAAGCUCCAUGGGGGAAGAACCAGGCACCUGGAUGCAUGGCUGUGAGGCCCCCACCCCACAGGGGCCUCAGAGGCACAGGCUCCAGGCUCCAGCGGGGAGGGCGCUGCAUCCCACCCUGGGAGCAUGGCUAUGAGGCCCCCACCCCACAGGGGACCCAGAGGCACAGGCUCCAGGCUCCAGCGGGAAGGGCCCUGCUCCCCACCCCCAUCCCCCGCCUCAGGCUUCACUGAGAUGGGCCCCGGGGACCCCGGGAGCUUUCUGUGACUGCUCGGCAAUGGGUUCCCCAAGGCCUGGCACAGGCUUUCCUUAGAGCCAGGCUGUGGACCCAAAGCCUUGGGCCAAGUCUCAGGACCAGAUGGGCGGCUCUGGAGAGGACCCCACAGUCCAGGGUGAGGCGCGCCCCGCUGGGGGCAGCGCUGCCUGUGGAGAGGACCCCACAGUCCAGGGUGAGGCGCGCCCCGCUGGGGGCAGCACUGCCCGUGGCCGUCUCCAUCCAUCUCACCCUGACGCAAGGCCGGCUUCCUCUGCGUCCAGUGGUCGGGGCCUUGGAGAGGCCAGCAGGGCCCGUGGGGGUCGCGUUUCUUCCCUGUGGCAUCAGCUCUUUUCCCAGCAGGCCUCUUUGCAGCUGGAUGCAGCAGCCAAGCCCUGGAGUCUUUGGAAAACUGUGGCCUGGCGGGGGCCCAGGCAAUGCCACCUUACAGGGGACACCCACACAGGCGGUCCCGAGGAGGGGUGUGCUGCCGCCCUGAGCUCAGCCAGGCAUCACCGUGGUGUCACCGUCAGCUCGGGUGGCACCUCCCGGGCUGCCCUCUCGGCUGCCACUUCUCAUGAAACUGACAGGGACUGAACACGAAUGAUGUGGCUUAUAGCUGGGUGCCCCCACCCUGACCACAGGUGCCACGCGACGGGAGCCACAUUCUCUUCCUGAUUCUAACUCCACGGGUACAGAGACAGAAGCUGCCAUCUUUAGAAAUAAAACUUUUUUCUAACUACAAAAUAAUACAGUUUAAUAUAGGAAAUGUGGAAAAUGGGGUAUUCGGGGUGGAUAUUGAGAAGAGAGAAGCAACACCAAUUCUAUGUGCGAGACGCUGGCACUUCCCAGCGUAGCCUUGUGUUCCUGACCCUGGGGUGGCCUGAGCGUGGCCUGUGGGGCCCGUGUCCAGGUGCGGAGGGGGCCCUGAGUCGUGCGGGGCAAGUGGUCAGGGCCCCAGGCCCAGGCUGCCUGGAGCGAGAUGACUGGGCCUGGCCCCUGGGGACUUGCUCUGACAAAACCCCCCGGUCCCCACUCCUGAGCCCCUGCAGGAGCAGCCCUGGGAACAUGGGGAGCAGCUCCUUCUGCCUAUGUGCUCCGGACUCAGGAACUCUGGAGAGAAGAAACACAACCCCACAGGCCCCGCCUGCCUCUCCUGCAGUCUUGAGGCCCCAGGGAAAGCCCCCACUGCAGGCAGGGGGACGUGGCUGGCCUGGUCUGCCCCCAGCUGAGCCUCACCUGAGGGAGAGCUGGGGUGGGCCGCCUCGUUUACGACCGUGUAGUCGUCUUUUGCACACAAAGCCAUGUGAGUCCGUACGUGAGUCCUGUGGAAAGACAAGACAUGGAAUAGGAGUGACGUCCGUCCCCAGGCAUGAAGUGGAGAGCAUCACGCUGUGUGAGUUAAACACUGGCCAAGCACGGUGUGAGUCGGAGCCGGGGACCUGGCCAGAUGAGGGCUGCGUGCAGCUUUCACACCCCAGGCACGUGAGCACCGCCAAGCCCAGCCUCAGCCAGCAGCUGCUCUGCAAUGUGGAGUCACCAGUGGCCCCAAGGAUGGCAGGUGGGGGUGGCCUUGGGACUGAAUUAGGCCGACACCCAAGGCCUCUGUUCCUUCCCGUCCCUUCUCUCCCUUCGGAGGAUCAAAUGAGAGUUUCUAGGAAAGAAAACAUGGCCAGGCCCUCCUCCAGCGCCCAGGCAGGGCUCGAGCGGACGCCCGUGUGACCCCCACAUCCCUUCUACCCCUGUAGCUCUCUGACUCUGAUAUCCCAGUGGGAGGAACGAGGAGGGGACGGGUGAGGAGGAGGAAGAGGAGGAGACAUGAGGGUUAGGAGGAGCACAUCCUGAGUUUGUGAGGCUUCACUGACCUCUGGCCUCACAAACACACACAGGCCUGAGCUCCGGAUAUUUCUCCUGUUCUGGAGACAGUGAGAAGUGAAAGAGAAAUGGCUGCCCCUGCACCACUUACCGCGAAGGAGGCUCAAGGCUGGGGGGCCCCUCUGCCUUCCAGUGACCGCCCGUGUCACAUCCUGACCCGCUCAGCAGGUGAGCUGCAGGCUGCCAAUGCACUGGUGCUACUUGCCCCUCGGUGUCUGGGUGGCUUUUGUGUGGCUGCGGCAGCUUGUGGGCCCACAUCCCAGGCACGGGUGGUCCUGAAGGUGCUGGGGAAGGGACAUGCCCUGGGAGGCAGGAUGUCCACACUAAGUGAGUUGCUCGCCUCCACUGGAGGAGAGACGGCCAGAGGCAUGGAUGCACGCUGACUCGUGGACGGCCGCUGUUUGACGAGACCAUCAAGGAGGGAGGAGCACCCGUGGAAAGGCGUGGCAGGGUGGUCGGGGCAGAGGUGUACAUCAGCCUAUCCAAUGCUCACGGCUGGAGGACGCCGCGCCCUGUGAAUGCUCACUGAGGACCAUCCCGGGCACUGGGGCUCUCCAUGUGAGAAUGGACAAUAUGCUGCCUUCCCAGCUGCCCCAUCCUUCCUGCGAGAGCUUGGGGAUGGGUGGCCACAGUGGCACUGGGGAGAACACGAGGGCUCCCCAGCAAGCGUUUUCUCUCAUGGAGGUGGCUCUGGUCACAGCGUCACUGCAGGGCGCAGCCACGGUGGCGGCCAAUGGAAACUGGGCUCUUCUUUUUCUUUUUUUUUUUGAGACAGAGUCUCGCUCUGUCACCCAGGCUGGAGUACAAUGGCAGGAUCUCGGCUCACUGCAACAUCCACCUCCCGGGUUCAAGUGAUUCUCCUGCCUCAGCCUCCUGAGUAGCUGGGAUUACAGGUGCCAGCCACCACGCCCGGCUAAUUUUUGUAUUUUUAGUAGAGACAGGGUUUCACCAUGUUGGUCAGGCUGUCUCGAACUCCUGACCUCGUGAUCUGCCCGCCUUGGCCUUCUCAAAGUGCUGGGAUUACAGACAUGAGCCACCGCGCCCGGCCAAAACUGGGCUUUUCUACGGUGGGGAGAGCAGAGCUAUUCUCUCUGGGGUGGGUGCUUGUCUGGGACUUGUCACCAUCCCUUACUCCAGGGCUGUCUUCAGCACUGUCGCCCACAGUCUUUCCGAACGCCUUAUUCAGAUGUUAUAAUUUCCCACACGAUGUUCCUGACCAAGAAACGCAUUUUACAGCAAAGGGGUGAGGAACGGAUCUGUGGCCAUAGGAUCCCAGAGCCGUGUCCCCGCCACUCAGGAGCAGGCGACCUGAGCAGAAGGGCUUGGCGCUGGUGGGCAGUGGGAGCCCUGCCAUGGGCGGCCCGAGGGGUGGUGGGAUCCCCGCCGUGGGCAACCCCGGGGGCGGUGGGAGCCACGCUGUGGGUGGGCUGGAGGCCCUACUGGGUGUGCUACCGGAAGGGAGGUCCUGACUGUGAGUCCAUGUUCCUGGCAUGUUGAACAAAGAAUUGAGCAAAACUCACAAAACGACAAAUAACAGAGUAAUGAAAGCGCAGAUCCUUUGCAGUGAACAUGCACUCCACAAGGGGGGACGGGACUCCAGCAAGUGCUCCGGAGCCCCCAUUAGGGUUUGUAUUGGGCUAAAAGAAUUUGGUAACACCCCCAGGUGCCCUUUCCAGGUCUCUGAUUGGCUGCAUCCUAUGAAGACUGGCCUGCGGCCAAUCAGAGGCUGAGGUGGAGACUCCUGUCUUGUUUUCCCAGGAAGGAGGCUGCGGCCUGUGUGCCGCCCAAUCCAGCCAGGAACCGGUGGCACCUGCUGCCCUCCGGCUUCUGCCUUAGCCCUCGGUGACCCCAUUCCCUGUUCUCCUGCCUCAGGUGCAGGGCGAUGGUUCUCAGUCAACGCUGGGGCCAGAGCCGGGGCUGGGGCCGCUCGUUCUGCACAGGUCCCGGGAGUGGCGGUGAGCAAUGCUCUCGCUCUCAGCGACCCACGUGCAAAGCGCUCCCUGCGCCCCCGACCCCGCAGCUUUGGGCUCUGCUGACUUCAAGGCUUCAUUCUUCCUCCAGGAGAACACAGCAGGUCCCUCCGACCGCAGUCGGCCUCUCCAGCCUGCCAUGCCUCUGGCCAUGAGGCGACCCGCUGGAGUGAUGGAUUCCCGUCACUACCACCCACAGGGCGAGGGGGUGCAUUGGUCUGCUUGGGCCGCUGUAACAAAAUGCCACAGCCUGGAUGAGUGACUGACAUUGCUUCCCCACCGUUCUGGAGGCUGGAGGCCCGAGAUCGAGGUCCCUGACACUAUUUCAGUGAUGCCAGAGCCCAGGAGGAGUCGACCAAGCCCCAGCGUGGCCAUAAGCACCUUCGCAGGACCACGGAGUCGCUGCAGGUGUUCAGCCCUGUUGAGAGUGGGAGUCGGUGUCGAUGGUCACAGCUCAGUAACUCAUCGUCACCAGCGAGUACCACAGAGCAGACACAACUGCACUUCUCUGUAGAGCCUCCAGUCGAUACUGAGAGCCACUGGGGCGUCUGACACCCAAGGGUGCAGACAUUCACUCCAAGUCCAGAGACCGCGCCCUUUCUAAGGCCCUGUCUCACAGUCGCCCCGUGCUCAUUGUGCCGGAUGUUUCCACAGCCACAGAGACGGUGCGUGAAGGUGAGGUGCAGCCUAGUGCAUAUGACUGACAGAAACGUGAAGCCACAGUGGACGCCUGGAUGAGACACAGAUCACCUUCCAAAUCUGAGUGUGGCCUUGGGACCAACCAGGCAGCCAGGGAGAAGGCAGAGACCAGAGGGAACCCAGGUGCCCUCAAUCCCAGCCUCCUCUAUCCCAGCCUCCCAAUCCCAGCCUCCCCAAUCCCAGCCUCCUAAUCCCAGCCUCCUCCAUCCCAGGACCCCCACUCCCAGCCUCCCGAUCCCAGCUUCUCUGAUCCCAGCCUCCCCUAAAACCCAGACUCUAUGAAUCCCAGCCUCUGAGGUGGGAACUGUUAGUAACCCCACUCCAUGGACAAGAAAGCUGGGGCCUGGCGAGGCUAACAGACUAUCCUGAUGGUGUGAGGGAGGGAUCGGCCUCUGAGGGCUGCUUCCACCCAUCUCACCAGUGGCUGCAGGCUCCAGGCGCCACUUUCCUUGAGUCUAUGUUCUUUCCAAGCAUCCUGCAGCUCCAGAAGCUCUGGAGCCGCCAGCACUGAGAGAAGCGAUGGAGCUGCAUGCAGGGAAACUUUGUUGACAGCGGUGUCUGGAUGGACCAGCAGAGGGCACUCUCACCCACGGGGAAAAUCGUGCGCCCGGCCUCGUCCACCGCCAGAAGACGCCGCUACACAAUGGAGUCUCGCUCUGUCGACCAGGCUGGAGUGCAAUGGUGCGAUCUCGGCUCACUGCAAUCUCUGCCUCCCGGUGAGAGGUGAAGCCAGCUGGACUUCCUGGGUCUAGUGGGGACUUGGAGAACUUUUCUGUCUAGCUAAAGAUUUGUAAAUGCACCAAUCAGUGCUGUGUCUAGCUAAAGUUUGUAAACGUACCAAUCAGCACUCUGUAAAAAUGGGCCAAUCAGCACUCUGUAAAAUGGACCAAUCAGCACUCUGUAAAAUGGACCAGUCAGCAGGAUGUGGGCGGGGUCAAAUAAAGGAAUAAAAAGCUGGUAGCCGAGCCGGCAGUGGCAAACCGUUUGGGUCCUUCUCGGUACCCUGGUGGCUUUGUUGUUUUGCUCUUUGCAAUAGAUCUUGUUGCCGCUUGCUCUUUGGGGCCUCACUGCCUUUAUGAGCUAUAACACUCCCCGCAGAGGUCUGCAGCUUCAUUCUUGAAGCCAGCGAGACCACGAACCCACUGGGAGGAACCAACAACUCCAAACGCGCCACCUGUAAGAGCUGUAACACUCCCUGUGAAGGUCUGUGGCUUCACUCCUGAAGUCAGCGAGACCAGGAACCCACCGGAAGGAACUCCGGACACAAAGAACUGCAACACUCACCCGAGGGUCUGUGGCUUCAUUCUUGAAGUCAGUGAGAUUAAGAACCCACCGGAAGGAACCAGUUCCGGACGUGCCGAGUUCAAGCAAUUGUCCUGCCUCAGUCUCCGGAGUAACUGGGAUUACAGGUGCACGCUGCCAUGCCCAGCUAAUUUGUAUUUUAGUAGAGUCGAGGUUUCACCGCGUUGCCCAGGCUGGUCUCGAAUUCCUGAGCUUGGGCAACCCACUCACCUCGGCCUCCCAAAGUGCUAGGAUUACAGGCGUGAGCCACCAGGCCGGGCCCGUAUGGUGGUUUCUACUCCGGACUGACUCUCCCGGGUCUUGGUCACUCUGCAGAAUCCUGGACCGGAAGGGGGCCUCGGCCAGGGGAGGGCUUGCGAGGAGCCCCGGACCUACUGGCCAUUAUAGGGUGACGGGAAGUUCCUUGCAUCCCGGGAUCCCAUGGCACUUGGUCAGGGAAGCCUCCCCAGAGAGGCCCAACUCCCCAGAUCCAGGUGGGGAAUCAGGGUACCAGCCAGGCAGUGUUCCCACCCCAGCCAUGCUGCUGGCUUCCGUCCCUGUGGUGGGGUCACCCAGGUGGCUCAUGCCUCCACGCACAGCCUUGUGGACACCCCCACACCGCCCAUAGUCAAGUCAGAGCUCACGAGCCCACAGGGCAGAUACCCGCCACGAGGGGACGGUGGGCCAGGAGGGUCCUCUGUGGGCAGCGCCGUGUUCCUGAUCUCCCCAGGCUGCUGGGGGAUGGGGUGGGGCAGAGGAGGCCACCUUCCCAUUUCCCACUUUGCUGGGUCUCCCUCUUUGCUGGACAGUGCUGGGGCAGGUUACACACCCAUGACAGUGUGAGGACUGAGGGUGCGCGUCCUGGAGCCUUCAGGGCUUGGGUGGAGGGGGCAGCUUGUCCCCCUGAGGCCUGGGCCAGAGAUCCCAUUCUGAAUGCGGAGAGCCAAGAUUCUACCUGGAUCCUGGCCUUGUGGGUCACUGUGACGGCCCAGAGCUGACUUUAUGUGACAGUUUGUCCUGAGAUUUAAAACUGAAUAUUUAGACUCGUGGGAUCUGGGCAUCCACUUCAACCAAGGAUGGGGACAGGCAGCAGGGUGGAGGGUGGACGAUGCAGGAAGAUGCUGUAGGACCAAGAACAAGGGGGCUGUGAGGCAAAGGAGCAGCACGAGGAGCCGUGUGUGCCCACUGCCACUUGCAGCCUCAUUUCUCAACCCGACUGUGAUGACUGCCGCUUGCUGGAAAGAUGCUCUGAAGACACAAUGAACUGACAAUGCGUCACCCCGACUCCUGCCUGAGCCACUCCAUUCCUUAAAGACGGUACGUGACUCACGUCCUUGCUGUGUCCUGCACGAGAUAAGGUCUGGCAGGGUUGGUAAUUAUGCCUCUGGGAUCUGUAACCAGACAUUCUCUGUAACCAUUCUGUAUAAUCUGGACGUUCUCUGUAAUCCAGAUGUUCUGUGUAAACUGAAGUUCUCUGUAAUUGGACUUUCUCUAUAACCAGUUGUCCUCUGUAACCUUCUCUAUAAUCCAGAUGUUCUUUGCAACCAGAUAUUCUCUCUAACCAGACAUUCUGUAUAAUCCAGACAUUCUCUGUAACCAGAUGUUUUCUAUAAUCCAGAUUUUUUUUUUUUUUUGAGACAGUUGCACUCUUUUUGCCCAGGCUGGAGUGCAAUGGUGAGAUCUUGGCUCCCUGCAACCUCCACCUCCCAGGUUCAAGCGAUUCUCCUGCUUCAACCUCCCUAGUAGCUGAGAUUACAGGCAUGCACCACCAUGCUUAGCUAAUUUUGUAUUUUUAGUAGAGACGGGGUUUCUUCAUGUUGGUCAGACUGCUCUCAAACUCCUGACCUCAGGUGAUCCGCCCACCUCGGCCUCCCAAAGUGCUGGGAUGACAGACGUGAGCCACCGCACCCGGCCCUGGAUGUUCUUUUUAAUCCAGAUAUUCUCUGUAAUCCAGACGUUCUCUACAACCAGACAUUCUCUGUAAUCGGACAUUCAGUACAAUCCAGGCUUUCUCCGUAACCAGACGUUCUCUAUAAUCCAGACGUUCUCUGUAACCCACACGCAGCUCCGUGUGACUCUGCUCUUCCGUGACUUCUGCGUCUAUAAUCCAGACGUUCUCUGUAACCCACGUGCAGCUCCGUGUGACCCUGCUCUUCCGUGACUUCUGCGUCUAUAAUCCAGACGUUCUCUGUAACCCAC